Molecule: ribosomal RNA, 429 nt
Filed under: Bacteroidota bacterium
Lineage: Bacteria; Pseudomonadati; Bacteroidota
Description: Bacteroidetes bacterium partial 16S ribosomal RNA
Rfam family: Bacterial small subunit ribosomal RNA
Source: RNAcentral
UAGGGAAUCUUCGGCAAUGGGGGGAACCCUGACCGAGCAACGCCGCGUGAGUGAAGAAGGUUUUCGGAUCGUAAAGCUCUGUUGUUAAGGAAGAACGAGUGUGAGAAUGGAAAGUUCAUACUGUGACGGUACUUAACCAGAAAGGGACGGCUAACUACGUGCCAGCAGCCGCGGUAAUACGUAGGUCCCGAGCGUUGUCCGGAUUUAUUGGGCGUAAAGCGAGCGCAGGCGGUUAGAUAAGUCUGAAGUUAAAGGCAGUGGCUCAACCAUUGUAGGCUUUGGAAACUGUUUAACUUGAGUGAAGAAGGGGAGAGUGGAAUUCCAUGUGUAGCGGUGAAAUGCGUAGAUAUAUGGAGGAACACCGGUGGCGAAAGCGGCUCUCUGGUCUGUAACUGACGCUGAGGCUCGAAAGCGUGGGGAGCGAACAGG